This 803-nucleotide ribosomal RNA is filed under the name Pediococcus acidilactici. Its description in RNAcentral is "bacterial SSU rRNA". It matches the Rfam family "Bacterial small subunit ribosomal RNA", at positions 80 to 869 of the family's 1533-position model. The record is from RNAcentral. Lineage: Bacteria; Bacillati; Bacillota; Bacilli; Lactobacillales; Lactobacillaceae.
UUUAACACGAAGUGAGUGGCGGACGGGUGAGUAACACGUGGGUAACCUGCCCAGAAGCAGGGGAUAACACCUGGAAACAGAUGCUAAUACCGUAUAACAGAGAAAACCGCCUGGUUUUCUUUUAAAAGAUGGCUCUGCUAUCACUUCUGGAUGGACCCGCGGCGCAUUAGCUAGUUGGUGAGGUAACGGCUCACCAAGGCGAUGAUGCGUAGCCGACCUGAGAGGGUAAUCGGCCACAUUGGGACUGAGACACGGCCCAGACUCCUACGGGAGGCAGCAGUAGGGAAUCUUCCACAAUGGACGCAAGUCUGAUGGAGCAACGCCGCGUGAGUGAAGAAGGGUUUCGGCUCGUAAAGCUCUGUUGUUAAAGAAGAACGUGGGUGAGAGUAACUGUUCACCCAGUGACGGUAUUUAACCAGAAAGCCACGGCUAACUACGUGCCAGCAGCCGCGGUAAUACGUAGGUGGCAAGCGUUAUCCGGAUUUAUUGGGCGUAAAGCGAGCGCAGGCGGUCUUUUAAGUCUAAUGUGAAAGCCUUCGGCUCAACCGAAGAAGUGCAUUGGAAACUGGGAGACUUGAGUGCAGAAGAGGACAGUGGAACUCCAUGUGUAGCGGUGAAAUGCGUAGAUAUAUGGAAGAACACCAGUGGCGAAGGCGGCUGUCUGGUCUGUAACUGACGCUGAGGCUCGAAAGCAUGGGUAGCGAACAGGAUUAGAUACCCUGGUAGUCCAUGCCGUAAACGAUGAUUACUAAGUGUUGGAGGGUUUCCGCCCUUCAGUGCUGCAGCUAACGCAUUAAGUAAUC